Molecule: ribosomal RNA, 213 nt
Filed under: Pheidole bulliceps
Lineage: Eukaryota; Metazoa; Arthropoda; Insecta; Hymenoptera; Formicidae
Description: partial large subunit ribosomal RNA
Source: RNAcentral
GAAUUUUAUAUAAAUUUAAUAGAAAAUUUAAUUUUAAAGUAGUUAUAGUUAUAUUUUAUUGGGAGGAUAAUUAAAUUUAAGUAACUUUAAUAUAGAAAACCAUUAAUUUAUGAAAAGAAAUAAAGGAGUGGCUGUAGAGUUUAGAAAGAAUUAAUUACCUUAGGGAUAACAGCGUUAUAUUUUUAAAGAGAUCUUAUUGAUAAAAAUGUUUGC